RNAcentral lists this ribosomal RNA (506 nucleotides) under uncultured bacterium. RNAcentral describes it as "partial 16S ribosomal RNA". It matches the Rfam family "Bacterial small subunit ribosomal RNA", at positions 30 to 523 of the family's 1533-position model. The record is from RNAcentral.
AUUGAACGCUAACGGCGUGCUUAACACAUGCAAGUCGAGCGGCAGCAUGACUGUAGCAAUACAGUUGAUGGCGAGCGGCGGACGGGUGAGUAAUGCAUAGGAAUCUGCCUUGUAGUGGGGGAUAACCCGGGGAAACUCGGGCUAAUACCGCAUAAUCUCUACGGAGCAAAGUGGGGGACCUUCGGGCCCUACGCUAAAAGAUGAGCCUAUGUUGGAUUAGCUAGUUGGUAGGGUAAAGGCCUACCAAGGCAACGAUCCAUAGCUGGUCUGAGAGGAUGAUCAGCCACACUGGGACUGAGACACGGCCCAGACUCCUACGGGAGGCAGCAGUGGGGAAUAUUGGACAAUGGGCGAAAGCCUGAUCCAGCAACGCCGUGUGUGUGAAGAAGGCCUUCGGGUUGUAAAGCACUUUUAGUGGGGAAGAAAAGUUCAUGGCUAAUAUCCGUGAAUGCUGACGUUACCCACAGAAAAAGCACUGGCUAACUCUGUGCCAGCCGCCGCCGUAA